AGAUUGAACGCUGGCGGCAUGCCUUACACAUGCAAGUCGAACGGUAGAGUAGCAAUACUCGAGAGUGGCGAACGGGUGAGUAAUAUAUCGGAACGUGCCCAGUCGUGGGGGAUAACGUAGAGAAAUUUACGCUAAUACCGCAUACGAUCUACGGAUGAAAGCGGGGGACUCGCAAGAGCCUCGCGCGAUUGGAGCGGCUGAUAUCAGAUUAGGCUGUUGGUGAGGUAAAAGCUCACCAAGCCGACGAUCUGUAGCUGGUUUGAGAGAACGACCAGCACACUGGGACUGAGACACGGCCAGACUCCUACGGAGGCAGCAGUGGGGAAUUUUGGACAAUGGGCGAAAGCCUGAUCCAGCAAUGCCGCGUGCAGGAAGAAAGGCCUCGGUGUAACUA
Molecule: ribosomal RNA, 394 nt
Filed under: uncultured soil bacterium
Lineage: Bacteria
Description: bacterial SSU rRNA
Rfam family: Bacterial small subunit ribosomal RNA
Source: RNAcentral